Molecule: ribosomal RNA, 463 nt
Filed under: Leptocottus armatus (Pacific staghorn sculpin)
Lineage: Eukaryota; Metazoa; Chordata; Actinopteri; Perciformes; Cottidae
Description: partial 16S ribosomal RNA
Rfam family: Bacterial large subunit ribosomal RNA
Source: RNAcentral
CGGUAUUUUGACCGUGCGAAGGUAGCGCAAUCACUUGUCUUUUAAAUGAAGACCCGUAUGAAUGGCAUAACGAGGGCUUAACUGUCUCCUCUCUCAGGUCAAUGAAAUUGAUCUCCCCGUGCAGAAGCGGGGAUAAAAACAUAAGACGAGAAGACCCUAUGGAGCUUUAGACACCAAAGCAGCCCACGUUAAGCACCCUCCACAAAGGACUAAACCAAGUGGGCCCUGCCCUAAUGUCUUUGGUUGGGGCGACCGCGGGGAAUUACAAAACCCCCACGUGGAAUGGGAAUACUUUUCCUACAACCAAGAGCUACAGCUCUAGAAAACAGAACUUCUGACCAACAAGAUCCGGCAAUGCCGAUCAACGGACCGAGUUACCCUAGGGAUAACAGCGCAAUCCUCUUUUAGAGCCCAUAUCGACAAGGGGGUUUACGACCUCGAUGUUGGAUCAGGACAUCCUAAU